AAGAUGGCGACCGGCGCGCGGGUGAGUAACACGUAUCCAACCUGCCGAUAACUCCGGAAUAGCCUUUCGAAAGAAAGAUUAAUACCGGAUGGCAUACGAAUAUCGCAUGAUAUUUUUAUUAAAGAAUUUCGGUUAUCGAUGGGGAUGCGUUCCAUUAGUUUGUUGGCGGGGUAACGGCCCACCAAGACUACGAUGGAUAGGGGUUCUGAGAGGAAGGUCCCCCACAUUGGAACUGAGACACGGUCCAA
This 248-nucleotide ribosomal RNA is filed under the name uncultured bacterium. RNAcentral describes it as "partial 16S ribosomal RNA". It matches the Rfam family "Bacterial small subunit ribosomal RNA", at positions 85 to 334 of the family's 1533-position model. The record is from RNAcentral.